RNAcentral lists this ribosomal RNA (713 nucleotides) under Laimaphelenchus australis. Its description in RNAcentral is "eukaryotic LSU rRNA". It matches the Rfam family "Eukaryotic large subunit ribosomal RNA", at positions 381 to 931 of the family's 3401-position model. Lineage: Eukaryota; Metazoa; Nematoda; Chromadorea; Rhabditida; Aphelenchoididae. The record is from RNAcentral.
AAGAGAGUGCAAGAGAACGUGAAACCGACGUAAUGGAAGCGGAUGGAGCCGACGUAUCUGAUACGUAUUCAAUCACGUCUCGUUGCGAUCUGCGACGUGGUAUUCCGCAAGGUUGCCUAGUUGUAGUUGUUGUUGCGAUACGUGAUGCAUUUGCGUACGGAGUGCGCCGAGUGGGUUGAUAUUGCUGUUGGAUGUCAACAAAGAGGACCUCAUUUCGGUGUGGAACCCUGAGUUGGCGGACGGUGGAUAAUGUUGACUCGUAUAUGAAUACUGGUGAAUUCGCGAUUAGUCUCUAUAGUGAAACAAGUCUUGGCAUGGCACAUGUGUUAUGUCUAAAUUUGGUGUGCUAUGUAUGUUUGUUGCCCAUGUAUUCGACUCGGUGUAUAGUCGGUCACCCAUUUGACCCGUCUUGAAACACGGACCAAGGAGUUUAAGGUGUACGCAAGUCAUUGGGCUUAUAAAACUCAAAGGCGUAAUGAAAGUGAGAUACUUGGUGUCUGUGAUGUGAGUAGUUGUUGUUUCGACGUCAACUAUGCAACAUCACCCCAUGGCUAGGGCUUGCUCUGUCGUGGAGGUUGAGCGUACGCGUUGAGACCCGAAAGAUGGUGAACUAUGCCUGAACAGGAUAAAGUCAGAGGAAACUCUGAUGGAAGUCCGAAGCGGUUCUGACGUGCAAAUCCGAUCGUGGAGAUUUGGGUAUAGGGGCGCAAGAC